UGGAAUUGGGUGCUUCGGAAGA
Molecule: microRNA, 22 nt
Filed under: Cynara cardunculus (cardoon)
Lineage: Eukaryota; Viridiplantae; Streptophyta; Magnoliopsida; Asterales; Asteraceae
Description: cca-miR6118-5p
Source: miRBase by way of RNAcentral